GACGUAGGGCGCAAGCGUUGUCCGGAUUUAUUGGGCGUAAAGAGCUCGUAGGCGGCUCGUUGCGUCGGCUGUGAAAACCCGCAGCUUAACUGUGGGCCUGCAGCCGAUACGGGCGGGCUGGAGUUCGGUAGGGGAGACUGGAAUUCCUGGUGUAGCGGUGAAAUGCGCAGAUAUCAGGAGGAACACCGGUGGCGAAGGCGGCAUCCUGGACCAAUAUUGACGCUGAGGAGCGAAAGCUAGGGGAGCAAACGGG
This 253-nucleotide ribosomal RNA is filed under the name uncultured bacterium. RNAcentral describes it as "partial 16S ribosomal RNA". It matches the Rfam family "Bacterial small subunit ribosomal RNA", at positions 524 to 776 of the family's 1533-position model. The record is from RNAcentral.